This 466-nucleotide ribosomal RNA is filed under the name Vreelandella stevensii. RNAcentral's name for it is "partial 16S ribosomal RNA". It matches the Rfam family "Bacterial small subunit ribosomal RNA", at positions 338 to 795 of the family's 1533-position model. Lineage: Bacteria; Pseudomonadati; Pseudomonadota; Gammaproteobacteria; Oceanospirillales; Halomonadaceae. The record is from RNAcentral.
CCUACGGGCGGCAGCAGUGGGGAAUAUUGGACAAUGGGGGCAACCCUGAUCCAGCCAUGCCGCGCGUGUGAAGAAGGCCCUCGGGUUGUAAAGCACUUUCAGUGAGGAAGAACGCCUGGUGGUUAAUACCCAUCAGGAAAGACAUCACUCACAGAAGAAGCACCGGCUAACUCCGUGCCAGCAGCCGCGGUAAUACGGAGGGGUGCGAGCGUUAAUCGGAAUUACUGGGCGUAAAGCGCGCGUAGGUGGCUUGAUAAGCCGGUUGUGAAAGCCCCGGGCUCAACCUGGGAACGGCAUCCGGAACUGUCAAGCUAGAGUGCAGGAGAGGAAGGUAGAAUUCCCGGUGUAGCGGUGAAAUGCGUAGAGAUCGGGAGGAAUACCAGUGGCGAAGGCGGCCUUCUGGACUGACACUGACACUGAGGUGCGAAAGCGUGGGUAGCAAACAGGAUUAGAUACCCUGGUAGUC